AGAGUUUGAUCCUGGCUCAGGAUGAACGCUGGCGGCGUGUUUUAGGCAUGCAAGUCAAACGGGUAGGUGUAGCAAUACAUCUACCAGUGGCAAACGGGUGCGUAACACAUUGGUAACCUGCCUCUGUCUCAGGGAUAAUUCCGCGAAAGCGGGACUAAUACCUGAUGGUCUUCCCCCGCGCUGGCGGGGUCAGUAAAGGCGCAAGCCGGACAGAGAGGGACCUAUGGUCCAUCAGCUAGUUGGUGAGGUAACGGCUCACCAAGGCAAUGACGGAUAGCGGGCGUGAGAGCGCGACCCGCCUCAGUGGAACUGCGACACUGUCCACACUCCUACGGGAGGCUGCAGUCAAGAAUCUUCCCCAAUGGACGAAAGUCUGAGGGAGCGACGCCGCGUGCAGGAAGAAACCCCUCGGGGCGUAAACUGCUUUUCUCUGGGAAUAACUCUGAAGGUACCAGAGGAAUAAGGGGCUGCUAACUUCGUGCCAGCAGCAGCGGUAAUACGAAGGCCCCAAGCGUUAUCCGGAUUUAUUGGGCGUAAAGAGCUCAAAGGCGGUUUGGUACGUUCCUGGUUAAAUUGCGCCGCUCAACGGUGCAACUGCCGGGGAAACGGCCAGACUUGAGGGUGGGAGAGGCAAACGGAAUUGUCGGUGUAGUAGUAAAAUGCGUUCAUAUCGACAAGAACACCAAUAGCGAAGGCAGUUUGCUGGAACACUCCUGACGCUUCACGAGCGAAAGCGUGGGUAGCGAUACGGAUUAGAUACCCUGGUAGUCC
This 771-nucleotide ribosomal RNA is filed under the name uncultured bacterium. RNAcentral describes it as "bacterial SSU rRNA". It matches the Rfam family "Bacterial small subunit ribosomal RNA", at positions 8 to 796 of the family's 1533-position model. The record is from RNAcentral.